RNAcentral lists this ribosomal RNA (447 nucleotides) under uncultured bacterium. Its description in RNAcentral is "bacterial SSU rRNA". It matches the Rfam family "Bacterial small subunit ribosomal RNA", at positions 355 to 825 of the family's 1533-position model. The record is from RNAcentral.
UCGGGAAUUUUGGGCAAUGGGCGAAAGCCUGACCCAGCAACGCCGCGUGAAGGAUGAAGUAUUUCGGUAUGUAAACUUCGUAAAAAUAGGAAGAAUAAAUGACGGUACUAUUUGUAAGGUCCGGCUAACUACGUGCCAGCAGCCGCGGUAAUACGUAGGGACCAAGCGUUGUUCGGAUUUACUGGGCGUAAAGGGCGCGUAGGCGGCGUGACAAGUCACUUGUGAAAUCUCCGGGCUUAACUCGGAACGGUCAAGUGAUACUGUCGUGCUAGAGUGCAGAAGGGGCAAUCGGAAUUCUUGGUGUAGCGGUGAAAUGCGUAGAUAUCAAGAGGAACACCUGAGGUGAAGACGGGUUGCUGGGCUGACACUGACGCUGAGGCGCGAAAGCUAGGGGAGCAAACGGGAUUAGAUACCCAAGUAGUCCCUGAGCGGGCUGGCAAGGCGCAU